This 859-nucleotide unclassified non-coding RNA is filed under the name Hevea brasiliensis (rubber tree). Lineage: Eukaryota; Viridiplantae; Streptophyta; Magnoliopsida; Malpighiales; Euphorbiaceae. The record is from RNAcentral.
GACCCUCCCCAACCCUUCUCCAAUUGCUGAUAUGCCCAUCUCUAUUGUUGGAACUACUAUCCGACUUCCCAGCUACAAAAAUCCGUUGGGUCAGGUCAAGGAAUCUGCUGGAAUUUUUUUUUUUCUGAUGAAAAUGACUCCUCAAUUGCAGAAGUUUCAGUUUUCUUCAAUGAGGCAUGCUUCCUUCAUUUGAAAUCAUAAUGUGGACUGAUAAAUUACAAAAUAAUAUUGAUGAUUCUAAGGUACAAGAAGAAUUAUGGGAUGCUAUUCAAAAAAUACAAGAUGAAAUUUAUGAUUAUUAUGAACAACUUGAUAAAGUGUGUUAUUUGAUUGAUUUGUAUAGAGGUCCGAACUAUGCUCCUUGUGUUUAAUUUGAUGAGUAUCGAGAUAUUCAACUAAUUUUAUAAUAUAAGGAGAAGCACUCAAACAAUGUAAGAAUGAGUAUUAUGAUCAACAGGCUCAUCAACAAGUUAAAGAUAAAAAAACUUGAAGAAUUUGAAGUAUGGAAAGAUGGACAUCUGUUCCAAUCGAGAGAACAGUUGGACAAAGUAAAAAAUAUUGAGAAUAUAAAAGCAAAAAAAUCUAGAAAAAGCAAACCAACAACAAGAGAAACGUGAAUUUGAAAAGCAAUUUGAGAUUGAAGAUGAAAUUAAAUAGGAGCAACCUGAAGAACCUAAGAUCUAAGAAUCUGAAGAUUUGAGUCUUGAACAUGCACCAGUUAGAAAGCCUAUUCUAGAGCAAGAAGUUGAUGAAAAUGCAAAAGCAAAGCUUGAGGAGGAUAAAUUGCAUAAUAAAGAAGAUCACUUUAUGAAAAUUUCAAUGGAGAUUGAAGAAUAUCAAGUUAUUUCUAUUGAUUUGA